Molecule: ribosomal RNA, 3140 nt
Filed under: Janthinobacterium sp. 78
Lineage: Bacteria; Pseudomonadati; Pseudomonadota; Betaproteobacteria; Burkholderiales; Oxalobacteraceae
Description: bacterial LSU rRNA
Rfam family: Bacterial large subunit ribosomal RNA
Source: RNAcentral
GUUCGAUCCCGUCAUCCUCCACCAAAAGUUCAAACGUAAAUCAGUGCAGAGUGCACCAGGAUUUAGGUUUGGUCUUUUCGAGAUCAAGUGCUGUAUGUUCUUUAACAAUCUGGAAGAAGUAAAGAUUAUUUAUUGAUUGGUUUGCCGUAAAACGCAAAUCGAUGGGUAAUGAUUGUAUGUAUCAACAAACAAGCAACAACGUUGUACUUUCUUAUUCCUGUAACGCUCUUUCCUCAUGCAAAUGAUGAGAGGCUAACGUUAUAGGGACAAGCGAAUAAGUGCACAUGGUGGAUGCCUUGGCGAUUACAGGCGAUGAAGGACGUAGUAGCUUGCGAUAAGCUGCGGGGAGUGAGCAAACACACUUUGAUCCGCAGAUUUCCGAAUGGGGCAACCCACCCUUUUAGGGUAUUGCAUACUGAAUACAUAGGUAUGCAAGGCGAACGCGGCGAACUGAAACAUCUAAGUAGCUGCAGGAAAAGAAAUCAACCGAGAUUCCCAAAGUAGCGGCGAGCGAAAUGGGAAGAGCCUGUACGUGAUAGUCGGACCGAUAACAGAAUCCUCUGGAAAUGGGAGCCAUAGUGGGUGAUAGCCCCGUAUGUGAAAUUGGACCGGUGAUACUAAGCGUACGACAAGUAGGGCGGGACACGUGACAUCCUGUCUGAAUAUGGGGGGACCAUCCUCCAAGGCUAAAUACUCGUAAUCGACCGAUAGUGAACCAGUACCGUGAGGGAAAGGCGAAAAGAACCCCGGAAGGGGAGUGAAAUAGAUCCUGAAACCGUGUGCAUACAAACAGUAGGAGCGGACUUGUUCCGUGACUGCGUACCUUUUGUAUAAUGGGUCAGCGACUUACAUUCAGUGGCAAGGUUAACCGCAUAGGGAAGCCGUAGAGAAAUCGAGUCCGAAUAGGGCGAUCAGUCGCUGGGUGUAGACCCGAAACCAAGUGAUCUACUCAUGGCCAGGAUGAAGGUGCGGUAACACGCCCUGGAGGUCCGAACCCACUAAUGUUGAAAAAUUAGGGGAUGAGCUGUGGGUAGGGGUGAAAGGCUAAACAAACUUGGAAAUAGCUGGUUCUCUCCGAAAACUAUUUAGGUAGUGCCUCAAGUAUCACCAUCGGGGGUAGAGCACUGUUAUGGCUAGGGGGUCAUUGCGACUUACCAAACCAUUGCAAACUCCGAAUACCGAUGAGUGCGAGCUUGGGAGACAGACGUCGGGUGCUAACGUCCGGCGUCAAGAGGGAAACAACCCAGACCGCCAGCUAAGGUCCCAAAGAUUGGCUAAGUGGAAAACGAAGUGGGAAGGCUAAAACAGUCAGGAUGUUGGCUUAGAAGCAGCCAUCAUUUAAAGAAAGCGUAAUAGCUCACUGAUCGAGUCGUCCUGCGCGGAAGAUGUAACGGGGCUAAGCCAGUCACCGAAGCUGCGGAUAUCCUUUAUUGGAUAUGGUAGGAGAGCGUUCUGUAAGCCUGCGAAGGUGUCUUGUAAAGGAUGCUGGAGGUAUCAGAAGUGCGAAUGCUGACAUGAGUAGCGAUAAUGGGGGUGAAAAGCCUCCACGCCGUAAGCCCAAGGUUUCCUGUUCAACGUUCAUCGGAGCAGGGUGAGUCGGCCCCUAAGGCGAGGCAGAGAUGCGUAGCUGAUGGGAAGCAGGUUAAUAUUCCUGCACCGUCGUAUGAUGCGAUGGGGGGACGGAUCGCGGAAGGUUGUCCAACUGUUGGAAUAGUUGGUUUUUGGCUCAUAGAAGGCACUUAGGCAAAUCCGGGUGCGGAAUUCAAGGGGUUGAGACGAGUGCACUUGUGCACGAAGCAAUCGGAAGUGGUUCCAAGAAAAGCCUCUAAGCUUCAGUCAUACGAGACCGUACCGCAAACCGACACAGGUGGGCGAGAUGAGUAUUCUAAGGCGCUUGAGAGAACUCGGGAGAAGGAACUCGGCAAAUUGGUACCGUAACUUCGGGAAAAGGUACGCCCCGGUAGCUUGAUUGGUUUACUCCAUGAGGGUGAAAGGGUUGCAAUAAACUGGUGGCUGCGACUGUUUAAUAAAAACACAGCACUCUGCAAACACGAAAGUGGACGUAUAGGGUGUGACGCCUGCCCGGUGCUGGAAGAUUAAAUGAUGGGGUGCAAGCUCUUGAUUGAAGUCCCAGUAAACGGCGGCCGUAACUAUAACGGUCCUAAGGUAGCGAAAUUCCUUGUCGGGUAAGUUCCGACCUGCACGAAUGGCGUAACGAUGGCCACACUGUCUCCUCCCGAGACUCAGCGAAGUUGAAAUGUUUGUGAUGAUGCAAUCUACCCGCGGCUAGACGGAAAGACCCCAUGAACCUUUACUGUAGCUUUGCAUUGGACUUUGAACCAAUCUGUGUAGGAUAGGUGGGAGGCUUUGAAGCGGGGACGCUAGUUCUCGUGGAGCCAACCUUGAAAUACCACCCUGGUUUGUUUGAGGUUCUAACCUUGGUCCGUUAUCCGGAUCGGGGACAGUGCAUGGUAGGCAGUUUGACUGGGGCGGUCUCCUCCUAAAGUGUAACGGAGGAGUUCGAAGGUACGCUAGAUACGGUCGGACAUCGUGUUGAUAGUGCAAUGGCAUAAGCGUGCUUAACUGCGAGACUGACAAGUCGAGCAGGUACGAAAGUAGGACAUAGUGAUCCGGUGGUUCUGUAUGGAAGGGCCAUCGCUCAACGGAUAAAAGGUACUCUGGGGAUAACAGGCUGAUUCCUCCCAAGAGUUCAUAUCGACGGGGGAGUUUGGCACCUCGAUGUCGGCUCAUCACAUCCUGGGGCUGUAGCCGGUCCCAAGGGUAUGGCUGUUCGCCAUUUAAAGUGGUACGUGAGCUGGGUUUAAAACGUCGUGAGACAGUUUGGUCCCUAUCUGCCGUGGGCGUUGGAAAUUUGAAGGGGGCUGCUCCUAGUACGAGAGGACCGGAGUGGACGUAUCUCUGGUGUACCGGUUGUCACGCCAGUGGCAUUGCCGGGUAGCUAAAUACGGAAGAGAUAACCGCUGAAAGCAUCUAAGCGGGAAACUUGCCUUGAGAUGAGAUUUCCCAGAGCCUUGAGCUCUUUGAAGGGUCGUUCGAGACCAGGACGUUGAUAGGCUGGGUGUGGAAGUGCAGUAAUGCAUUAAGCUAACCAGUACUAAUUGCCCGUACGGCUUGUCCCU